This is a long non-coding RNA of Psammomys obesus (fat sand rat), 449 nucleotides long. RefSeq lists it as uncharacterized. The record is from RefSeq and is a predicted model, not a curated record. The transcript has 4 exons. NCBI's taxonomy places the organism in Eukaryota, Metazoa, Chordata, Mammalia, Rodentia, Muridae.
AACAGGGUUUCUCUGUGUACCUUUGGCUGUCCUGGAACUUACUCUGUAAACCAGGCUGGCCUCGAACUCACAAAAACCCACCGGCCUCUGCCUCCUGAGUGCUGGGAUUAAAGUCGUGUGCCACCACCGCCUGACACACGCAUCUUGAAGUUUCGAAUGAUCCUCAAACCCAGGAAGGUACAGCAAAUUUGCCUGCUCUCAAAUCACCCUGAGCUGACUGUCCCUCAGAACCCAAGUGGCUCACCUCUCCAGUGCUGGGGCUGUGUUGGAUGAAAGGAAGUAAAGACUGUCAGAAACAGUCUUAGCUGGAGAAUGGAGGAGCUUCUACCCAAGGGACAAGCCUCAGCCAACUCUUCUCCAAAAAGACCUUCUGGGCAGACACCCAUGCCCUUACCCGCGGCGCGUGAAUACGAAGGGAGGCACCGCUCGGGCUCGAGACCGCACCAAAG